UAGUCCACGCCCUAAACGAUGUCAACUAGACGUUGGGCUCAUUAAGGAGCUUAGUGUCGAAGCUAACGCGUUAAGUUGACCGCCUGGGGAGUACGGCCGCAAGGUUGAAACUCAAAGGAAUUGACGGGGGCCCGCACAAGCGGUGGAGCAUGUGGUUUAAUUCGAUGCAACGCGAAGAACCUUACCAGCCCUUGACAUCCUGGGAAUUUUGUAGAGAUACAUUAGUGCCUUCGGGAAUCCAGUGACAGGUGCUGCACGGCUGUCGUCAGCUCGUGUCGUGAGAUGUUGGGUUAAGUCCCGCAACGAGCGCAACCCUCGCCAUUAGUUGCCAGCAUUUAGUUGGGCACUCUAAUGGGACUGCCGGUGAUAAGCCGGAGGAAGGUGGGGAUGACGUCAAGUCCUCAUGGCCCUUACGGGCUGGGCUACACACGUGCUACAAUGGUGGUGACAGUGGGCAGCGAGACCGCGAGGUCAAGCUAAUCUCCAAAAACCAAUCGUAGUCCGGAUUGGGGU
RNAcentral lists this ribosomal RNA (513 nucleotides) under uncultured bacterium. RNAcentral's name for it is "bacterial SSU rRNA". It matches the Rfam family "Bacterial small subunit ribosomal RNA", at positions 791 to 1304 of the family's 1533-position model. The record is from RNAcentral.